AUGAACGCUGGCGGCGUGCCUCAUCCCUGCCAGUCGAGCGCACAGACGAGGAGCUUGCUCCUUUGACGUUAGCGGCGGACGGGUGAGUAACACGUGGGUAACCUACCUAUAAGACUGGGAUAACUUCGGGAAACCGGAGCUAAUACCGGAUAAUAUUUCGAACCGCAUGGUUCGAUAGUGAAAGAUGGCUCUGCUAUCACUUAUAGAUGGACCUGCGCCGUAUUAGCUAGUUGGUAAGGUAACGGCUUACCAAGGCAACGAUACGUAGCCGACCUGAGAGGGUGAUCGGCCACACUGGAACUGAGACACGGUCCAGACUCCUACGGGAGGCAGCAGUAGGGAAUCUUCCGCAAUGGGCGAAAGCCUGACGGAGCAACGCCGCGUGAGUGAUGAAGGUCUUCGGAUCGUAAAACUCUGUUAUUAGGGAAGAACAAACGUGUAAGUAACUGUGCACGUCUUGACGGUACCUAAUCAGAAAGCCACGGCUAACUACGUG
RNAcentral lists this ribosomal RNA (496 nucleotides) under uncultured bacterium. RNAcentral describes it as "partial 16S ribosomal RNA". It matches the Rfam family "Bacterial small subunit ribosomal RNA", at positions 29 to 507 of the family's 1533-position model. The record is from RNAcentral.